This 305-nucleotide ribosomal RNA is filed under the name uncultured bacterium. RNAcentral's name for it is "bacterial SSU rRNA". It matches the Rfam family "Bacterial small subunit ribosomal RNA", at positions 333 to 636 of the family's 1533-position model. The record is from RNAcentral.
AUGGCCCUACGGGAGGCAGCAGUGAGGAAUAUUGGCCAAUGGUCGGGAGACUGAACCAGCCAAGCCGCGUGAGGGAGGAAGGUACAGAGUAUCGUAAACCUCUUUUGUCAGGGAACAAAGACUGGGACGCGUCCCCGGAUGAGUGUACCUGAAGAAAAAGCAUCGGCUAACUCCGUGCCAGCAGCUGCGGUAAUACGGAGGAUGCGAGCGUUAUCCGGAUUUAUUGGGUUUAAAGGGUGCGUAGGCGGUCUGUUAAGUCAGCGGUAAAAUUGCGGGGCUCAACCCCGUCGAGCCGUUGAAACUGG